UGGGGAAUAUUGCGCAAUGGGGGGAACCCUGACGCAGCCAUGCCGCGUGAAUGAAGAAGGCCUUAGGGUUGUAAAGUUCUUUCGGUAUUGAGGAAGGUUGAUGUGUUAAUAGCACAUCAAAUUGACGUUAAAUACAGAAGAAGCACCGGCUAACUCCGUGCCAGCAGCCGCGGUAAUACGGAGGGUGCGAGCGUUAAUCGGAAUAACUGGGCGUAAAGGGCACGCAGGCGGUUAUUUAAGUGAGGUGUGAAAGCCCCGGGCUUAACCUGGGAAUUGCAUUUCAGACUGGGUAACUAGAGUACUUUAGGGAGGGGUAGAAUUCCCCGUGUAGCGGUGAAAUGCGUAGAGAUGUGGAGGAAUACCGAAGGCGAAGGCAGCCCCUUGGGAAUGUACUGACGCUCAUGUGCGAAAGCGUGGGGAGCAAACAGGAUUAGAUACCCUGGUAGUCCACGCUGUAAACGCUGUCGAUUUGGGGGUUGGGGUUUAACUCUGGCGCCCGUAGCUAACGUGAUAAAUCGACCGCCUGGGGAGUACGGCCGCAAGGUUA
RNAcentral lists this ribosomal RNA (547 nucleotides) under uncultured bacterium. RNAcentral's name for it is "bacterial SSU rRNA". It matches the Rfam family "Bacterial small subunit ribosomal RNA", at positions 355 to 896 of the family's 1533-position model. The record is from RNAcentral.